AUGCUUGUUAAGUACAAUUUGAUGUCCCACAGUUACAUGACAAAUUUGUACGAGAUACGACGCAAAUGGGCGAAACCAUACUUCAAAGGUGUUUUCUGUGCCAAAAUGACCAGCACCCAGCGUAGCAAGAGUGCAAACAAUAUGCUGACAAUAUACAUGCCACCAGCAAAUCCAAUGCAUGUGUUUGUGCAUCAGGACAUGAGGCUGCAAUUCGACCGGGAAUCAGAUGAGAGCUACCAAGAAAAACAAACAAGGAUUGUAAGCCCACUAUAUGAAAAACCUACUCAAUUGUUUGUUUCUCAUAUUAUUGUGUAUAAAACUGGCAAAUUCUCUUUUUUCCUCUGUGCUGCUCAGAGUGGCGCUGUCAUGAGAACAAACAUUGCUAUCGAGAGGCAUGCGGGUAAGGUUGAUACACGGAAGAUGUUUGAACAAUUUGGUGAGUAUCUAUUCGAAGGUGGAUCAUACCAAGUCGAGGAAUUUGAAAAGAAAAAAAGUAUAUCGCAUGACACAAUAAUGCCGAAAGACGAGAUAAAUGGAAAAAGGUGGAAUACAAGGUGA
This 558-nucleotide ribosomal RNA is filed under the name Triticum aestivum (bread wheat). RNAcentral describes it as "partial small subunit ribosomal RNA". The record is from RNAcentral. Lineage: Eukaryota; Viridiplantae; Streptophyta; Magnoliopsida; Poales; Poaceae.